This 463-nucleotide unclassified non-coding RNA is filed under the name Hevea brasiliensis (rubber tree). Lineage: Eukaryota; Viridiplantae; Streptophyta; Magnoliopsida; Malpighiales; Euphorbiaceae. The record is from RNAcentral.
AAGGAAGGAAGAAGCGCCAUAGGUUACUGCUGCUACUAUGGCACGAGGAACCUCAAGCUAAAAGGCCUCGUCCUGAGGAGCCUACUUCCCCAAUUAUUAAUUAGGCUAACCCCAUCGAUGUUGGUCUCCUCCUCUGGCUGUCAGGCCUUCAACUCAACCACUUACAUCGACUACCUCUGGCUGGGUGGCUCUUCUGGCCAGUAAAUGUCGAGAGGUGCCAAAGAGCUAACUCAAUCCCUCAAAAGAAUCUGAUCUAUAAAAGGUAACAUAGAUUUGGUGAAGGUUACUACAGCUUCACUUAGUCUCCUUGAAGACCUUCUCUCCGAAAUGCUAAAGCGAUAUCCUAGCGAGGACUUUACCUGGCUCAAAAAGCUCACCCCAAAUGCUAGUGCUGAGAGUGAUGGAUAGGAUGGUUAGGUUAGGGGAAUUCAAAAUGUAAGUGUUGUUGAUGCAGCUGUUGGAG